UGCGGAGAUCUCAUGCACUACAAUAAUAUCUCUCUAGAUGUCCGCUUGGUGCGAGUAUUCGAAAACCCUAUCUUUCUUUACACCUCCGCUUAAUGCAGCACUUUCAGAGGGUGCGAGAUCAAAAAUUGGGUUCGCGAAAAGUGACGCCGGGAGUACUGUAGUUUGACCAUCUAAUCUUUAUCUUAGACCAUGGCUUAAGCUGGGUCUACACUAGCAGUUUUUACAGACAAGUUACGGUCAUACAGACAUACAGACUCGAUACAGGCAUACGGAAAGCUUAUUCCGUUCAAUCUACACUAGCGAUUUUCCGUAAACGUAUGCCUGUAGCCUGUGUGUCUGUAAGAAAAAAAGUUUGAAAUGAUUCAAACUUUUCCCGUAAGUGAGAGUUUCCGUAAGAUGAAAAAUAAGGUUCAGCCAAUGAGAAUAAAGUAUAGAUUUUCAAAUACUCUUUAUUAGUGCAACCACACAUGACUGCAACAUUGUCUGUUGAAAUUCGUCUGCCACAGUCGUCAUGCGUAUUAAAAAACUUGAAUUUGAAUAAAAAACAUGGGGCCCAAACCAUCUCCAAAGAAAAGAAAUCCCCAAAGAAAAUAACCGAAAAACUGAAACUAGAAACAAAAGACGUCGAGAGGUUCAUUUUGUGUGUUAAAAAUCAUCCUGUAUUGUAUAAUACUACAUUGCACGAUUACAAAGUUACAAAAGUUA
Daphnia magna is the source of this 705-nucleotide long non-coding RNA. RefSeq lists it as uncharacterized. Lineage: Eukaryota; Metazoa; Arthropoda; Branchiopoda; Diplostraca; Daphniidae. The record is from RefSeq and is a predicted model, not a curated record. The transcript is spliced from 2 exons.